Agrobacterium radiobacter is the source of this 68-nucleotide non-coding RNA. NCBI's taxonomy places the organism in Bacteria, Pseudomonadati, Pseudomonadota, Alphaproteobacteria, Hyphomicrobiales, Rhizobiaceae. The record is from Rfam.
AGUCAAGAGUCUUUGGCACCGUUUUUGGUGAGCGGUUUUCUUUUGCCUGUUGAAAGGUGAAGGAAAUG